UUCCAGCCACCCUGAAGGCAAGCCUGCAGCCCUUGGCACUGAGGAUGGUCUUGCAGAGUGCACCUACCUGGUGGUCCCACAGAGCCACAAGCACCUGAUCCAACACCCACCCAGCCAAGAGAAUGCAGUAUAAUGCCUAAAUUAGCUGUAUUCACAGACCAAACUCCCCAAACCGGAGGGAAAGAUAGCACUUUGCCAGAACAAGCUGUUUAAAACACCAAGUGAGUUUCUACCGUAUGACUUCGUCUAGGUGCGACAACUUGAAAAUCAAGUAAUCUACUAAGGUGACACAUCUUUUUCACAAGAGCAUGCAAAUGCCUCCUGCAAUUUUGGGACAGACCAUCCUUGUGAAUUGGCCACUUAUGCUUCUCAUCUGCUCAUUGAGAAAAAACAAAAACAAAAAACCUAAAAGAAGGCUUUUCUGUAUUUUGGAAAGAGAAUGAUAGAGGAAGCAGAUGAAGGUUUUUCUGUAUGGACUGAGAUGACCCGAAAUGAAAGCAGUUGUGCAAAAUAGCCAACUCUGAAAUCUGUCUCCAUGAUCAGGAAGGAACACACAGCACUUCCUUACUGAAGCUGGCCAGCCUGGUUGGACCUGCUCAAGCACACAAAUCAUAUUCUUCAGGCCAUCUCCAUUAGAAAACACUUCCAUCCUUCAAAAGCUCUAUCCCCUUCCUGGCACCCGUCUCUUGCAAGCAGCUCUCACCCCCUGCAAUCCAUCUUAAAAAAAAUCCCCUCUGCAGCCUGCUGGAGAUAAUUCCUCUUGCUCUGAAUCACUUUGUGCAAUUCAGACAAGUCACUGUGCUAGUAGAAUCCGAACUGAAGACCACUUCCACAGGAGUUUUAUCCUAUUGCAAACUGGCAAUACACAGGUUUAAGAACCAGCUGUGAUUCCCAGGUGAGGAGAAUGAGAAGGCUCUGUAUCUGAGGGCGAUUCCCCAGUGAGAGGAAAUGAGAAGAAUCUGAGGCACCAGAUGGCAGCAUUUUUCCCUCACUGAGUGUGAUCUCAUCCUCUCAGACUCACUCCUGGGAUCAUCAGGCUUUGAGGCUUCGUAAGCCACAAUGACCUCAGCUGAACUGCACCUUCUCUGUUGCCACCUGCUCCUUUUUCCUAAUUUUAUUGGACAUGCACAAUCCAGGCCCUUGAAGUUGUGGUUGCCUUUUCCCUGUGCAGGUCUGAGAGUCUAAAAAGAAUCAUUAACAAACAGGUAUGCAAAAAAUUUAGACCACGGAAUACGGCUCUGGCCUCUAAAUUUUCCACAUCCUCUAAAUAUUACGGAUCAUGAAGUUUAUUUGAUAUUCUUGUUAACUACAUGCUCUUUUCCAUAUACACACGUGCACAAUGUAAUACUUGUCUACAAGCAAGUUUGGCAUGUGUCCUUUUCUAUCAGUGCUUUAUUCCUUGAAUAAUAUUUCAUUAUAAACAAGUUAUGUAUGUCAAGUUAUGCGCUACUAGGCUUGUAACCUCUGUUGCAAGAACUCAAUUCUGGACAAAUAAUCUGAAUCAGAGCAGGGAUUUUUGAGAACUAAACUGCAAGAUCUGGGUUUUUUUACAGUUACAGACAUGGCCUAAAGCUUUGUGGGCUGGGAAUUCUGUUAUCUCACAAUCCUCUGUUCUGCUUCUUCCCUUCAUCCUCAUGUUAUUGCUUUCAAUGCUGCUUUGUUAGUGGUUUUGAAUUAGAAGAAAAAAACCUACACAUUAUGUCCAGCUGUAACAAACUAUUCUUAAAACAUCUACCUUUAAACUUGAAUUCUGCAGCACUGGGAUGCAAAUGUUUGUUUAUUUGAACGAUGUGACUAACACUGACAGCAUAAGAAAGGCUCUUUAUAGUGGGGUUGGAUUGCUGGGCCCCAGAGGGUGAAGGAGUAGCAGCCCUGGCUGCUGCUUUCUUUGACUGUUACUCCAUCAGGUUGCUGGUGUUUCUGCUCUGGUGACUGUGUUAAUGCUUUGCAAAUGCUAUGAGCUCAGUAGUAGACUAUUUGGGGAUUGUAUAAUUUAUUAACUUCUGACAAGCAGGCCAUUAUUUUUCUGAAGAACAUGUGUGACAAGGGACUUUACUUUUAUUUUAUUUUUCAAAUUUCAGCCAAAUUCAACAUGAGUGUCACAGGAUAGGGGCACUAGAUCCUUGACAGCCCCACCCUUCCUCUUAUUUAAUACCAAAAACUAUCUGUAAACAAGCAAGAAGGAGGGAGGGAAGAGUAAUUCUCAGAGGAAGUAUUAAGAAUCCUGUAUGAUUAAAACAUUAGGCUGUGUAA
Molecule: long non-coding RNA, 2253 nt
Organism: Passer montanus (Eurasian tree sparrow)
Lineage: Eukaryota; Metazoa; Chordata; Aves; Passeriformes; Passeridae
Exons: 3
Source: RefSeq, a predicted model, not a curated record